GGGACCAACUUAUCCAUCAGAAAGGAUCUAAAAGAGAGAAAACAGACAAAAGCUCUUAUCUCCUUGACUAGGUUUUCUAUGGCUGACAUUUUGUUGUCUCAGCUUAAUUGACUGGAUUGACCCAUAGCUGUGAUGUCACAAGAGAGUAGUGCCCUCCAGAGGCAGAGGCUGAAGAGUAGCUGUUAUAUCAACAGCAAGGGACCAACUUAUCCACCGGAAAGGAUCCAAAAGAAAGAAACAGACACAAGCUCUUAUCUCCCUGACUAGAUUUUAUGAGGUAACCAUCAAGAUCAAAGUGACAGAAAUGACUCAAAUUCAGAUCUUCUAAUUUUAAAUCCUAUGAUUUUGAAUAAAAAUAUAUUGAACAGAU
RNAcentral lists this long non-coding RNA (370 nucleotides) under Sarcophilus harrisii (Tasmanian devil). RNAcentral's name for it is "lncRNA (ENSSHAG00000031799.1)". Lineage: Eukaryota; Metazoa; Chordata; Mammalia; Dasyuromorphia; Dasyuridae. The record is from RNAcentral.